CUGAGGCACAUUAAGCUUCACUGAGGGAGAACCGGUACGUUUUAUCAUAGGGCAGGACAGCUACCUGCACGACAUGUCACCUGCAGGGACUGGCUUUUGCCCCGAUGUGCAGGGAAUAUGUGUAGGGAGAGAGAAAUGCAUAGGUGUGCAGAUUUUGGCAUGUGUGCAUGAAGCCUGGAAGAAUUUUCCUUGGAUCCACAAUCAAAAUGGAUUUCCAAGCGGGAGCUGAUCUGAGCACACAUCUCUUAUGUGGGCUGCCUAUGGCCCCAUUUCACCAGGCAGGUCCUCAACAAAUGAUCGGCGCCUGCUUCAGCUCUGGCCAGAGCUCUCUGGCCCAUGUGGUGGGCAGAACCCUGACACGAGGACAGAGAAGCAUCUCAGAGACUCGAGGAGGAAUUGAGUGUCUCACCACCUUCCUGCAGGUCUUCUGAACAUGUCUGAGCAUAGGAGGCUCUUCCUUCAACAGGCAAGUCAGUAGCUGCUGCGAUAAACACGACACAAGCUUGAGCUAGCGUGAAUAUCAGCCAUCAGCUGUCCACGGAGUUCUGACCAUGUGCCAUGCACUGUGCUAAGCACCCUCUCAUUUAAUCCUUUCAACAAUCCCUCUGAGAAGAAUCCAGAUGUUUUUAGAACUUAGCUUCUCAGCGAAUGACGUGGCAAGGUGGACACUUCAGUAUGGUAAAAGAGACUGGUGUGGCAAGGACAUUCAAGAUAGGGUCGGUCCGGCCUAUCCUCUGCAGCUGAACCAACCCCACCAGCCUCAGACAGCAUAUUGAUUUCGCUGUGUUUUCACUUGAAACACCAGAGGAAUGUCCAUACCUUGUCCUUGGGCCAGGCUUAGGGGGCAGGAGAGCUAGAAGUCUGGCCAGAGUCAUGUCACCCUUGGAGGAACCGAGAGGCGAUAUUACUCAGAGAUUCCUUAUUUUUGAGAUGGAUGGGUAGACAAAUGGAUGGACGGACAGAUGGAUGGAUGGAUGGACGUAUGGAUGGACGGACGGACGGACGGAUGGAUGGGGGAGAUCAGAAGCCAGCCCUCUAGGAGAGUCCCAUCAGUCUUCUUAAGAGAACCCAGUGAUUCAUUUCCUGGUCAGAAACCUGCUCCUAUAGAUGAACCACGUCCAUUGGCUCUGUCGGACUCGCUGUGGCUCAGGCGGAGGCUGAAGAGAACAGCAGCGGGUGGUGGGUGAAGCCCAGCCCUUGGAGUCUGAGAGCCUGUGUGGCCGCCCUGGUUACUUCUCCCCCAACUCAGGUCCCAGGGAGCCUGUUUGCAGAGGGAGAGCGGAGAUGUUUGCUGCACAGGUGCUUUACAAAUACAACGGAUUGAAAACCACCUGCAUCCCCAUGGUCUGGAACUGGUUCAUGAUUUUCAGUUCAGCUGUAGAAUGGAAUUCUGUGCCGUCAUUAAGAAUAAAAGAAAUCCUGUACUUUCUGCUUUUAGUGUUAGGUUACACAAACGAACAAACACCUCCGUCUUGGGCAGCCUGGUUUCGUGGCUUGCAGAUGCCCCAUGGCUGGUCUGCACAUCAGCCUGGGCUGGGGGCUGCUCUGCUGCCAUCGGGGGCCCCUCAUGGUGGCGUGCAAAGAAGUCGAGUCAAAAUACGCCCAGAGCACCUGGUUGGCUCAGUGGGUUAAAGCCUCUGCCUUCGGCUCAGGUCAUGAUCCCAGGGUCCUGGGAUCGACCCCCACAUCAGGCUCUCUGCUCGGCAGGGAGCCUGCUUCCCCCUCUCUCUCUGCCUGCCUCUCUGCCUACUUGUGA
Molecule: long non-coding RNA, 1756 nt
Organism: Mustela lutreola (European mink)
Lineage: Eukaryota; Metazoa; Chordata; Mammalia; Carnivora; Mustelidae
Exons: 4
Source: RefSeq, a predicted model, not a curated record